UGAGAACACAGGGCAGCCAGUCAUUGCUCGGAGGAAUGAAAGCCGACAUGUGAAUAAACAUGAAGCGCUAAGGGCCAUGGUUCAGCAAAAGUUGGAAAGAGAAAAAGCCUGGAGAUUUUCAGAGGAAGAAGACAGAGAGAGACAGCUUCACCAAAGCCAGAUCCCACUUCAACAUGUAGAAAAGAUGUAGAUGGAGGAAGCCCAAAGCAGGAGGAUUCCUGAACUUUGAGAUCUGAGCUGUAAAGAAAGACUGUCUGCCCUGGAUUUUCAUAGGUAUGGAGAACCUAGCUUCAGGAAGGGUCUUUUGUAGGGACUAUGGUAAGAAUUAAAUUUAACAGUUUAA
Molecule: long non-coding RNA, 343 nt
Organism: Carcharodon carcharias (great white shark)
Lineage: Eukaryota; Metazoa; Chordata; Chondrichthyes; Lamniformes; Lamnidae
Exons: 3
Source: RefSeq, a predicted model, not a curated record